UGGGGAAUUUUGGACAAUGGGCGAAAGCCUGAUCCAGCAAUGCCGCGUGUGUGAAGAAGGCCUUCGGGUUGUAAAGCACUUUUGUCCGGAAAGAAAUCCUUGGCUCUAAUACAGUCGGGGGAUGACGGUACCGGAAGAAUAAGCACCGGCUAACUACGUGCCAGCAGCCGCGGUAAUACGUAGGGUGCAAGCGUUAAUCGGAAUUACUGGGCGUAAAGCGUGCGCAGGCGGUUUGCUAAGACCGAUGUGAAAUCCCCGGGCUCAACCUGGGAACUGCAUUGGUGACUGGCAGGCUAGAGUAUGGCAGAGGGGGGUAGAAUUCCACGUGUAGCAGUGAAAUGCGUAGAGAUGUGGAGGAAUACCGAUGGCGAAGGCAGCCCCCUGGGCCAAUACUGACGCUCAUGCACGAAAAGCGUGGGGAGCAAAACAGGAUUAGUACCCUGGUAGUCCACGCCCUAAACGAUGUCAACUAGUUGUUGGGGAUUCAUUUCCUUAGUAACGUAGCUAACGCGUGAAGUUGACCGCCUGGGGAGUACGGUCG
This 541-nucleotide ribosomal RNA is filed under the name uncultured bacterium. RNAcentral describes it as "partial 16S ribosomal RNA". It matches the Rfam family "Bacterial small subunit ribosomal RNA", at positions 355 to 888 of the family's 1533-position model. The record is from RNAcentral.